UACGCAGGGGGCUAGCGUUGCUCGGAAUCACUGGGCGUAAAGCGCGUGUAGGCGGCUCUGCAAGUCGGAUGUGAAAUCCCACGGCUCAACCAUGGAAGUGCAUUCGAAACUGCAGGGCUAGAGUCCUGGAGAGGAAGGUGGAAUGCUUGGUGUAGAGGUGAAAUUCGUAGAUAUCAAGCGGAACACCGGUGGCGAAGGCGGCCUUCUGGACAGUGACUGACGCUGAGACGCGAAAGCGUGGGGAGCAAACAGG
Molecule: ribosomal RNA, 253 nt
Filed under: uncultured bacterium
Lineage: Bacteria
Description: partial 16S ribosomal RNA
Rfam family: Bacterial small subunit ribosomal RNA
Source: RNAcentral